This 447-nucleotide ribosomal RNA is filed under the name uncultured bacterium. Its description in RNAcentral is "bacterial SSU rRNA". It matches the Rfam family "Bacterial small subunit ribosomal RNA", at positions 330 to 795 of the family's 1533-position model. The record is from RNAcentral.
UCCAGACUCCUACGGGAGGCAGCAGUGGGGAAUAUUGCACAAUGGGGGAAACCCUGAUGCAGCGACGCCGCGUGAAGGAUGAAGUAUUUCGGUAUGUAAACUUCUAUCAACAGGGAAGAAAUGACGGUACCUGACUAAGAAGCCCCGGCUAACUACGUGCCAGCAGCCGCGGUAAUACGUAGGGGGCAAGCGUUAUCCGGAUUUACUGGGUGUAAAGGGAGCGUAGACGGCAAUGCAAGUCUGGAGUGAAAGGCGGGGGCCCAACCCCCGGACUGCUCUGGAAACUGUAUAGCUGGAGUGCAGGAGAGGUAAGUGGAAUUCCUAGUGUAGCGGUGAAAUGCGUAGAUAUUAGGAGGAACACCAGUGGCGAAGGCGGCUUACUGGACUGUAACUGACGUUGAGGCUCGAAAGCGUGGGGAGCAAACAGGAUUAGAUACCCCGGUACAC